UACGAAGGGUGCAAGCGUUACUCGGAAUUACUGGGCGUAAAGCGUGCGUAGGCGGUUUGUUAAGUCCGUUGUGAAAGCCCUGGGCUCAACCUGGGAAUUGCAGUGGAUACUGGCGAGCUAGAGUGCGGUAGAGGAUGGUGGAAUUCCCGGUGUAGCGGUGAAAUGCGUAGAGAUCGGGAGGAACAUCAGUGGCGAAAGCGACUUCCUGGACCAAUACUGACGCUCAUGUGCGAAAGCGUGGGGAGCAAACAGG
Molecule: ribosomal RNA, 253 nt
Filed under: uncultured bacterium
Lineage: Bacteria
Description: partial 16S ribosomal RNA
Rfam family: Bacterial small subunit ribosomal RNA
Source: RNAcentral